UACGUAGGGUGCGAGCGUUGUCCGGAAUUAUUGGGCGUAAAGAGCUCGUAGGCGGUGUGUCACGUCGGCCGUGAAAACCUGGGGCUUAACUCUGGGCGUGCGGUCGAUACGGGCAUCACUAGAGUUCGGCAGGGGAGACUGGAAUUCCUGGUGUAGCGGUGUAAUGCGCAGAUAUCAGGAGGAACACCGGUGGCGAAGGCGGGUCUCUGGGCCGAUACUGACGCUGAGGAGCGAAAGCAUGGGUAGCGAACAGG
Molecule: ribosomal RNA, 254 nt
Filed under: uncultured bacterium
Lineage: Bacteria
Description: partial 16S ribosomal RNA
Rfam family: Bacterial small subunit ribosomal RNA
Source: RNAcentral